RNAcentral lists this ribosomal RNA (254 nucleotides) under uncultured bacterium. RNAcentral's name for it is "partial 16S ribosomal RNA". It matches the Rfam family "Bacterial small subunit ribosomal RNA", at positions 524 to 776 of the family's 1533-position model. The record is from RNAcentral.
UACGGAGGGGGCAAGCGUUGUUCGGAAUUACUGGGCGUAAAGGGCGCGCAGGCGGCUGCUCAAGUCAGGCGUGAAAGGCCUGGGCUCAACCCGGGAAUUGCGCUUGAGACUGGGCUGGCUUGAGUGCGGGAGAGGAUGGUGGAAUUCCCGGUGUAGCGGUGGAAUGCGUAGAGAUCGGGAAGAACAUCAGUGGCGAAGGCGGCCUGCUGGGCUGUUGCUGACGCUGAGACGCGAAAGCGUGGGGAGCGAACAGG